This 291-nucleotide ribosomal RNA is filed under the name uncultured bacterium. Its description in RNAcentral is "partial 16S ribosomal RNA". It matches the Rfam family "Archaeal small subunit ribosomal RNA", at positions 457 to 747 of the family's 1478-position model. The record is from RNAcentral.
GUCCACCGCCGCGGUAAUACCGGCAGCCCAAGUGAUGGCCGCUGUUAUUGGGCCUAAAGCGUCCGUAGCUGGCCGCGCAAGUCCGUCGGGAAAUCUACUCGCCCAACGAGUGGGCGUCCGACGGAAACUGCACAGCUUGGGACCGGAAGGCUCGAAGGGUACGUUCGGGGUAGGAGUGAAAUCCUAUAAUCCCGCACGGACCACCGAUGGCGAAAGCACUUCGAGAAAACGGAUCCGACAGUGAGGGACGAAAGCCAGGGUCUCCAACCGGAUUAGAUACCCUUGUAGUCC